This 431-nucleotide ribosomal RNA is filed under the name uncultured bacterium. RNAcentral's name for it is "partial 16S ribosomal RNA". It matches the Rfam family "Bacterial small subunit ribosomal RNA", at positions 30 to 507 of the family's 1533-position model. The record is from RNAcentral.
CGAACGCUGGCGGCAUGCCUAACACAUGCAAGUCGAACGAUGCCUCCGGGCAUAGUGGCGCACGGGUGCGUACCGCGUGGGAAUCUGCCCUUGGGUUCGGAAUAACUCGCCGAAAGGCGAGCUAAUACCGGAUGAUGACGUAAGUCCAAAGAUUUAUCGCCCAAGGAUGAGCCCGCGUAGGAUUAGCUAGUUGGUGGGGUAAAGGCCCACCAAGGCGACGAUCCUUAGCUGGUCUGAGAGGAUGAUCAGCCACACUGGGACUGAGACACGGCCCAGACUCCUACGGGAGGCAGCAGUGGGGAAUAUUGGACAAUGGGCGAAAGCCUGAUCCAGCAAUGCCGCGUGAGUGAUGAAGGCCUUAGGGUUGUAAAGCUCUUUUACCCGGGAUGAUAAUGACAGUACCGGGAGAAUAAGCUCCGGCUAACUCCGUG